Molecule: ribosomal RNA, 396 nt
Filed under: uncultured bacterium
Lineage: Bacteria
Description: partial 16S ribosomal RNA
Rfam family: Bacterial small subunit ribosomal RNA
Source: RNAcentral
CCUACGGGAGGCAGCAGUGAGGAAUAUUGGUCAAUGGGCGCGAGCCUGAACCAGCCAAGUAGCGUGAAGGAUGACUGCCCUACGGGUUGUAAACUUCUUUUAUAAGGGAAUAAAGUGAGGCACGUGUGCCUUGUUGUGUGUACUUGAUGAAUAAGGAUCGGCUAACUCCGUGCCAGCAGCCGCGGUAAUACGGAGGAUCCGAGCGUUAUCCGGAUUUAUUGGGUUUAAAGGGUGCGUAGCUGGGUUGGUAAGUCAGUGGUGAAAGUUUGCGGCUCAACCGGAACAUUGCGAUUGAAACUGGCAGUCUUGAGUAGAGUAGAGGUAGGCGGAAUUCGUGGUGUAGCGGUGAAAUGCUUAGAUAUCGCGAAGAACUCCGAUUGCGAAGGCAGCUUACUA